GAUGAAGAACGCAGCGAAAUGCGAUAACUAGUGUGAAUUGCAGAAUUCCGUGAAUCAUCGAGUCUUUGAACGCACAUUGCGCCCCCUGGUAUUCCGGGGGACAUGCCUGUCCGAGCGUCAUUGCUGCCCAUCAAGCACGGCUUGUGUGUUGGGUCGUCGUCCCCUCUCCGGGGGGGACGGGCCCCAAAGGCAGCGGCGGCACCGCGUCCGAUCCUCGAGCGUAUGGGGCUUUGUCACCCGCUCUGUAGGCCCGGCCGGCGCUUGCCGAACGCAAAUCAAUCUUUUCCAGGUUGACCUCGGAUCAGGUAGGGAUACCCGCUGAACUUAAGCAUAUCAAUAAGCGGAGGA
RNAcentral lists this unclassified non-coding RNA (348 nucleotides) under soil metagenome. RNAcentral describes it as "partial contains 5.8S ribosomal RNA, internal transcribed spacer 2, and large subunit ribosomal RNA". The stretch from base 1 to 120 matches the Rfam family "5.8S ribosomal RNA", at positions 35 to 154 of the family's 154-position model. The record is from RNAcentral.